UUAUUUUUAAAAAUUAUUACUAUUUUUUAUUAUGUCACAUUGUAGCCCCAGUAGGAGUUAUUUUUCUUUUAAAGAAAUGUUUGGAUUAGGCAAAAACAUACUACUUAGAUUUUAAUGCCGUAUUUUAAACUGUGACUUAGAUAAUUCUCUUAUAAGGGGGAAUUAAUUAUUCUGGAUAUUGAUUGGUUGAUAGUGAUUUUUAAACUGUGUGUCUCUGAGGUGCCUCAGAGCUACAGCUUAAAAUUUGCAGCUUUAUGGCAUUUGUCUAGGAUGUAACAGGAAGAAAAUGAAUGUGCUAAGGAUCACAUUUGGUAUAUAUCUCAAGUAUAUUCUUAUCACCUUAUAUGGCAAAAUAGCGAAUAUUACUGUAUAUAGCAAAAUAAAUCAGUUAAAAAUCUGGAGAAGAGGGACUUACCCUGCAUUAUCUUGGUGGGUCCUUAGAGUGGUAGAGGGAGUUUUUAAGACAGAAGAUGGUGAGGCAGUUGGACUGUGGAGGCAUAGAUUAGAGUGACGUGGUCACAAGCUAAGGAACACCUGAAGCCACCAAAAGCUUGAAGAACAAGGAAAGGAUUACCUCCUGGAACCAUUGGAGGGACCCUGGCCCAGCUGGCACUUUGAUUUCAGCCCAGUGAAAGUGAUUUUGAGCUUCUGGCCCCCAGAACUAUGAGAGGAACAUUUUUGUUGUUUUUUGUUCCCCCAGUUUGUGGUAAUUUGCCACUGUGUCUCCAGGGAACUACUGCACUUUGUAAUGAAACAAAUGUAAAAAUAGAGUGUAAAUAUAAAAUAAACCAACCAUAAGAGAAAAGACUUUACAAAGAGAUUGAAACUUUUUUUAAAAAAAGAAUAUUGUUUUCAGUGAGGAUGAGGAGGUAAUGAGACAGCUGAGCUAUCUGCUGUGAAAGUGAAAAGUAAAUUGGCAGUAUGGAACAAGAUUAUGCAGGCAUUGGAAAUUACAUUUAAACAAUAUUUAAGGUAAAAAAAGACUACUUUUUAAUACUAAGUGAAAACUACUUAAAAAUUUACUUACAUUAUGAACCAAAUUUUAAGUAUCUAUUUCUAGGGAAAAAAGUGAAAUAAAAAAAUACAGUCUGUGAAGUUAAUUUUCCUUUGUUUAAACCUUGCUUUUCCACUUAGCUGUGUGACCUGAGAAAAUUUCUGAAGCUUUUGGGGCCUAUGUUCUCAUCUACAAGAUGAGGAAAGUAAAACAAUGUGUAUCUUACGAAGGACUAAAUAUAUUAAUAUUUUCUAAGCACUCAGGACAAUGCCUAACACUUUGUAAAGUUUCAGUAUUUGUUUUAUGUUUAUCAUAACUGUUGGAAUAAAAUGUAAAAAUCUAGGAGAAUUCUUUACUCCAAUUACUUCAGAAAACUUUUCCUUCUUUCUGUACUUAAAAUAUAGAAACUGGAGCUCCCCUUUGAAAAUGGCAGCUUGAGAAGUUGCACAGACCUGCUCCACAGCAAAACAAACAUAAUUGGUAAAAACUAAUUUUUUAAAAAAAAUAAAAUACUGGAAAUUGUCCUACAGACACUCAACAAAUGAAGAAACACAUAUUUAAGAAAAUCUAAAACUUGGUCAGAGCAGUAAGUCCUGCACAUGAACUAUGACCCACUCUGUUAUGGUUUGAAUGUUGUCCCCUGCAAAACAGGGUUGAAGUUUAGUUGCCAUUGCAACAGUAUUAAGGUGAGACCUUUAUGAGGUGAUUAGGUCUUAAGGACUCUACAGAUCCCAAUGAGGGGAUACCAUAUUUCACUGGGAGAGCAAACUGCUAGCCUUUAUCAUCCCCUCCAGCUUUAAGUUACAGAGGCUAAACUCCUGGUGAGGAUGCCGGUGUGGUCGGAGGUUCUCUUCCUCCACCCAGCCCCUAUGCAUAGGGCAGAGUUUCUACUCCAGGUGUAGCAAGCCUAGAAUACUGGGGCUCCAAUCGCCCUCACCCCACCUUGCUUGUAAGGUGCAGGUCUGUGCAGCUUCUGAAGCUGCCAUCACCUUGCUUGUAAGGGAAAGAAGUUCAACACUGGGAAGGGCAAGCCAAGAAUAUCAAAGACUACUACCCCUACCCAGCCCCCAGAGCAGUGGCUGAGAGAUUUUGCCCACUGAGAGAAGCAGUCUGUAAGAACAGAGAACUCCAGAAACCCUCCCCAAAGGAAUUGAUUUUAUUUGAAGCACAGUGUGGGGAAAUUUAAGCCUAAGGAUGCUUUCAGAAACAAUAGAGGCUUUGGUGGUAAGCAAAUAAGAGCCGACUGCUAGCUUUUAAGAGCAGCAGGCUAAACAUAGGCCAACUAGUUCUCAAAAGAGAAUCAGAGAAGGAGCUAAGAAGAGCCCUCCUUCUUGAGGGAUCAGAUCAAACCUCAAAGACUGGCCAAAGAACCCUACCCCCACAAUUUAUUUGGGUGAGAGUGUGAAGCAGUUUAUACUCUAGAACAUUGUUGAAAACAAUAGAGCUGGCAAUUACUUGAAGUUACACAGCUGAGCGGGAUACCAGAUGAGGCAAAAGAGAGAUGAGGGAAAGAGACAGAGAGUCCUGCUAACAUGACACUGUCAUUCCUGGUAACUGUGUGCAUGCCCAGCGCUGACCCUCUGAGGAGUAGCACCAAAGGCUUCACGCUGCAGGAGAAAUAGACUUCCCACAAUCGUCAAAUUACUCAACAAAUAAGCAGCAAAGACAAGCCCAGAAAGGUAUCUUCAGUUGACUCAAUAUAUUACCUAAAAUGUCCAGGUUUGAGCAAAAAACUGACACGUGCAAAGAACCAGGAAAGUGUGCCCCAUACACAAGAAAAACAGUAACAGCAAAUUAUGAAAGUACCCAGAUGUGAAAUUCAACAGAAAAACUUAAAGGGCAGAGGAAACCACGCUUACAGAAGUAAAGGAAGGUGUGAUACGCUGCCUCAUCAAAUUGAGAAUAUUGGUAAAGAGAUAGAAAUUUUAAAAAAAUUAUAAAAAAGAACCAAAUAGGAAUUCUAGAGUAAAAAGUAUAAUAACUAAAAAAAUUUACUAAAGGGGCUCCACAGUAGAUUUCUUUCUUUCUUUUUUUUUUUUUUUUUGAUCUUGGCUCACCGCAACCUCUGCCUCCCAGGUUCAAGCAAUUCUCCUGCCUCAGCCUCCUGAGUAGCUGGGAUUACCGGCAUGUGCCUUCACAUGUCUGUAAUUUUGUAUUUUUAGUAGAAACAGGGUUUCUCCAUCUUGGUCAGGCUGGUCUCAAACUCCCGACCUGAGGUGAUCACCCACCUUUGCCUCUCAAAGUGCUGGGAUUACAGGCAUGGGUCACUGCGCCCAGCCAGUAGAUUUCAACUGGCAGAAGAAAUAACUAAUGAGCCUGAAGGUGGAUCGGUAGAGAUUAUGCAAUUCAAAAAGUAGAAAAACAAAGAUGUAAAAUGAACACAGCCUCAGAGAAAAAUAUGGACAUCAUUAAGGGCCCUGACCUAUGUAAUGGAAGUACUAGAAGGAGAGAGGGAAGAAAAAGUAAUUUAAAAAAUUUAAAGAUGUAGCUAAAAACUUCUGAGAUUUGAUAGAAAACAUUAUACACUGAAAAAACUCAACAAUUUCCAAGUAAGAUGAACACAAAGAGACACAUCAUAGUAAAAA
RNAcentral lists this long non-coding RNA (3579 nucleotides) under Macaca fascicularis (crab-eating macaque). Its description in RNAcentral is "lncRNA (ENSMFAG00000048625.1)". The record is from RNAcentral. Lineage: Eukaryota; Metazoa; Chordata; Mammalia; Primates; Cercopithecidae.